CCGCGACGGGUGAGUAACACGUAUCCAACCUGCCGUCUACUCUUGGACAGCCUUCUGAAAGGAAGAUUAAUACAAGAUGGCAUCAUGAGUCCGCAUGUUCACAUGAUUAAAGGUAUUCCGGUAGACGAUGGGGAUGCGUUCCAUUAGAUAGUAGGCGGGGUAACGGCCCACCUAGUCUUCGAUGGAUAGGGGUUCUGAGAGGAAGGUCCCCCACAUUGGAACUGAGACACGGUCCAA
Molecule: ribosomal RNA, 237 nt
Filed under: uncultured bacterium
Lineage: Bacteria
Description: partial 16S ribosomal RNA
Rfam family: Bacterial small subunit ribosomal RNA
Source: RNAcentral